Molecule: ribosomal RNA, 483 nt
Filed under: uncultured bacterium
Lineage: Bacteria
Description: bacterial SSU rRNA
Rfam family: Bacterial small subunit ribosomal RNA
Source: RNAcentral
UCUGUGAACUCCUCCGGUAGGCAGCAGUGGGGAAUUUUGGACAAUGGGGGCGACCCUGAUCCAGCAAUGCCGCGUGAGUGAAGAAGGCCUUCGGGUUGUAAAGCUCUUUUGUCAGGGGAGAAACGGUAGUAGCUAAUAUCUAUUACUAAUGACGGUACCUGAAGAAUAAGCACCGGCUAACUACGUGCCAGCAGCCGCGGUAAUACGUAGGGUGCAAGCGUUAAUCGGAAUUACUGGGCGUAAAGCGUGCGCAGGCGGUUGUGUAAGUCAGAUGUGAAAUCCCCGGGCUCAACCUGGGAAUUGCAUUUGAGACUGCACGGCUAGAGUGUGUCAGAGGGGGGUAGAAUUCCACGUGUAGCAGUGAAAUGCGUAGAUAUGUGGAGGAAUACCGAUGGCGAAGGCAGCCCCCUGGGAUAACACUGACGCUCAUGCACGAAAGCGUGGGGAGCAAACAGGAUUAGAAACCCUAGUAGUAAAUCAGCG